Molecule: long non-coding RNA, 788 nt
Filed under: Astyanax mexicanus (Mexican tetra)
Lineage: Eukaryota; Metazoa; Chordata; Actinopteri; Characiformes; Acestrorhamphidae
Description: lncRNA (ENSAMXG00005005825.1)
Source: RNAcentral
CAAGCAGAGAGGAGUGUGGGGGGGUUUGCCAAUAGGGGGAGGCAGUGAGAGAGCUUCAGCCCUGCUCUGUGUGUGCGUGUGUGUUAUGUGUGUGUGUGUGUGUGUGUGUGUGUGUGUGUGUGUGUGUAGUUGCUCUGUCCUCUAGCUGAGUUGCAGCUUCAGUACCAGUGAGGAGGAGCGCAGAGCUGAGCGCGAGCCGCUUCAUGGUGCUGCCUGACUCCGUUCUCUCCGCGCUUUUCGCCCAGACCGACCCAAACGGAUAUUUAUCCCGGAUUUCACCGCACGAGAAGGUCCAUCCAUGUCCCUCACCGUGGGCCGGGGUUCGCUUCUGCUCUUCCUGCUGCUGUCAGCCCUGCAGGCUGGCACUGAUGGCAGAGGCACCCCGCUGUGCAGGCCGGGAUUCGCUGAAGAUGUGUACGACGCUCCGCUGCCCGAGAAACUACCGGAGGGACAGCCGCUGCUCACCGGUAAAGACGUUUACCUUGGCCUGUUCUGUGUUUGAGUGUGUGUGUGUAGGCCUGUCAUGCUAAAAAAAAAUUACAAAUGCUAUUUAGUCCCAAAAAUGAUUGAGAUAAACGAUAUUGUUGGCAUUUUUAGACCACUAAUUUGGCACUAUUAAAAUGAUAACAUAAUAUUAUAACAAAGCUGCCCGACAGCAUGACGUUCAGCCCCGGUCUGUUCAAGCUGGCUCGCGUUGAACCGGCAUAAAGACCCUGCCUUAGCCUUUGAGAGAUAAUGAAUAUCUGAUGGUGAAUAAAAGUUAAGCAACUAGAGCCGUCCUGGGCCUU